AUUAGCUUGUUGGCUGGGUAACGGCCCACCAAGGCAACGAUCAGUAGGGGUUCUGAGAGGAAGGUCCCCCACAUUGGAACUGAGACACGGUCCAAACUCCUACGGGAGGCAGCAGUGAGGAAUAUUGGUCAAUGGACGAGAGUCUGAACCAGCCAAGUAGCGUGCAGGAUGACGGCCCUAUGGGUUGUAAACUGCUUUUAUAAGGGAAUAAAGUGAGUCUCGUGAGACUUUUUGCAUGUACCUUAUGAAUAAGGACCGGCUAAUUCCGUGCCAGCAGCCGCGGUAAUACGGAAGGUCCGGGCGUUAUCCGGAUUUACUGRGUUUAAAGGGAGCGUAGGCCGGAGAUUAAGCGUGUUGUGAAAUGUAGACGCUCAACGUCUGCACUGCAGCGCGAACUGGUUUCCUUGAGUACGCACAAAGUGGGCGGAAUUCGUGGUGUAGCGGUGAAAUGCUUAGAUAUCACGAAGAACUCCGAUUGCGAAGGCAGCUCACUGGAGCGCAACUGACGCUGAAGCUCGAAAGUGCGGGUAUCGAACAGGAUUAGAUACCCUGGUAGUCCGCACGGUAAACGAUGGAUGCCCGCUGUUGGUCUGAAUAGGUCAGCGGCCAAGCGAAAGCAUUAAGCAUCCCACCUGGGGAGUACGCCGGCAACGGUGAAACUCUAAUGAAU
Molecule: ribosomal RNA, 670 nt
Filed under: uncultured bacterium
Lineage: Bacteria
Description: bacterial SSU rRNA
Rfam family: Bacterial small subunit ribosomal RNA
Source: RNAcentral